This 468-nucleotide ribosomal RNA is filed under the name uncultured Rhodocyclaceae bacterium. Its description in RNAcentral is "bacterial SSU rRNA". It matches the Rfam family "Bacterial small subunit ribosomal RNA", at positions 917 to 1381 of the family's 1533-position model. Lineage: Bacteria; Pseudomonadati; Pseudomonadota; Betaproteobacteria; Rhodocyclales; Rhodocyclaceae. The record is from RNAcentral.
GACGGGACCGCACAAGCGGUGGAUGAUGUGGAUUAAUUCGAUGCAACGCGAAAACCUUACCUACCCUUGACAUGUCCGGAAUCCCGAAGAGAUUUGGGAGUGCUCGCAAGAGAACCGGAACACAGGUGCUGCAUGGCUGUCGUCAGCUCGUGUCGUGAGAUGUUGGGUUAAGUCCCGCAACGAGCGCAACCCUUGUCAUUAGUUGCCAUCAUUUGGUUGGGCACUCUAAUGAGACUGCCGGUGACAAACCGGAGGAAGGUGGGGAUGACGUCAAGUCCUCAUGGCCCUUAUGGGUAGGGCUUCACACGUCAUACAAUGGUCGGUACAGAGGGUUGCCAACCCGCGAGGGGGAGCUAAUCCCACAAAGCCGAUCGUAGUCCGGAUCGUAGUCUGCAACUCGACUGCGUGAAGUCGGAAUCGCUAGUAAUCGUGGAUCAGCAUGUCACGGUGAAUACGUUCCCGGGUCUU